ACAAUCGCGUUGAGCAAGAAGAGUACGUUUGGGCACUUUCGGUACAGAGAAUCGGUGUUGGUGGAAAUCCGGUGCGAAAUCCCGAAUGGAAUGGGCUUGCGAGCUGUUUUCUGAAUAUGAGUAGGGAAACACGGGGCUUCCACCGUUACAUGGAUAGGGCAUCGGAAAUUCAAAUUCCCGUGCCUGAAACGAGAUGGAAAGACUUUUUCCAAUACGAGGUGGCACCGCGGCGAAUGUUCGCCCUCGAA
Molecule: non-coding RNA, 248 nt
Filed under: Bacillus sp. (in: firmicutes)
Lineage: Bacteria; Bacillati; Bacillota; Bacilli; Caryophanales; Bacillaceae
Description: Bacillus sp. T-box sequence
Rfam family: T-box leader
About the family: Uncharged tRNA acts as the effector for transcription antitermination of genes in the T-box leader family.
Source: RNAcentral